UUACUUCUUUUUGUUGUAUUAUUCAAUUUUUUUAGCAUUUUUCUUUAAAUGGUUUUACCAAUUUCAACUUAUCUUUUAACACAAGUUCAAAAUCGCGUGCUAAUUUUAAAAUUCCGCGGCACCUAAAACUCUGAAAUAUGUUGAAACUAUUAAAAUUCGAAUACAAAAUUUAGUUAUUUUGACUUCUUGUGAACCUUUUGUAUCACGUUUUGAAAAUUCUGCUCAAAUAAUUAAAAUCAGUCACAAAAACAAGGAUGAUUCCAGUGUUGCUUAUAAAAUUGUGAAAUCUAUACUUUCUUCUUUAAGUUAGUGAAAACAGUACUUUUAUAACCUCCUUAGUUAUUGUGUAAUACAUUAAAAAAAAAAAAAAUUAAAAAAACAAUUUCAAAAGGUAGCUUUUGAGUGCUUUUGUUCAUUUUUAUUAAUAUCACUCAUUAUGUUCACAAUUUCUAAGAAAACAUUUUUUUAGUUUAUGGAUGUACUACCAUUCCUUUACUAGUCUACUGUUUUAAAAACUUACUUGCCUAAUCCAUACUCUGAUUAAAAAAAGAAAAAAAAAACCUGACCACUUCGCAAAAGUACGUCAUUCUAUUGUUUAACAAAUUUCGAACAAAGAAUUUCAAUAAAUAGAACCAAUAAUUACUGUACUUGUUUUGUUUAAUUAAACAAUUAAACAUUUCUUGAUAUAGUAAAACUUUCUAUAUAAUUGGAACUAGUUUUCUUUGUAUUUUGAUUUUGCAAUGAACUUACUUCGUGUAACUCCUGAAGAAAGAACUCAAAUUUUGAAAGGUUACAACGUCGACAAUGCCCAAUUAGAGAAUAAUAUUGAAAUAAUUAAAAUUUGGAAGUCCAAACAACCUCAUCUUCAAGGGGAUUUAGGCGAUGACUACUUUGAGAAACUGUUAAUUAAAAAUAAAUUUAGUAUUGAAAGAUGUAAAGAAAAAUUAGAAAACUAUUACACCCUUCGGAAGACAAAUGAAGAUUUGUUGGAAGAUUACGAGAAAAUUUUACCGUCACAAGAAACAACAACUUUUUUAACGCUUCCUCGACUAACCCAAAACUAUGAGCAUAUCGUAGUCAUGAAACUGAUAAAUAUUGAUACAAAAAUUUACGAUCUUGUACCAACUUUCAAAUUUGCAUUAGCCGUGAAUGAAAUGAUGUUGAGACAUGAUGGCAGUUUAGGAAUUCCAGUUCUUAUAGACUACACAGGGUUUGCUCUGAAACAUUUAUCUACUUGGAAUCCUUUAAUUUUGAUGAGAUAUUGUAACAUGGCUGAAAAAGCUUACUCUCUUCGAAUUUUGGGAUUAGAAUUUAUCAAUUACCCAUCAUUUAUCAACAAAGUUUUCUCUUGUUCCAUUUCGAAAGCUUGAUUAAUUUCAGAUAAAACUGCAUGAAAAUUUUGAAUCUUUAUACACGGUAAUCCCCAAAAAAUAUUUACCGGAGGAUUAUGGAGGUAGUAACGAUAAAAUUUCUGAUUUGUUAGAAAAAUGGGACAUAGAAGCAAAAAACAACAAAAUUUUUUACUACAGUGUGCAAACACUAUUGCAAACGAAGAUUUACGUCCACUAGAAUCACAUGAAAAUGGUUUGUUUGGAACUGGAGGUACAUUCAAGAAACUCUCCGUCGACUAAAUAUUUAAAACAGCAAACACAGGGUGAUCCGUCUAAACCCCACUUUAGAAGUAUUGGUAGUUCUAAUAAUGAUAGUCAACCUGAAAAUCUUCAAACAACUAUAAUCUCUUAGGUGCUGCUCAAUGAAAAUAUUUUUAAAAUAGUGACAUUCCGGUUGUACCGGAAGUCGCUAUUAGCUUUUUUUUAAUGAAAAGCUAUAUUUUUUUAAGCGUUUUUUAUUACUAGAGUUAUUUUAUGGUAGUUUUCAUAAGCUUCCCUUAUACCUACAUUUAGCCGUUUGCAAAAUAUUUAAGGCUAUUAAUUAUUUUUUGGAUUUGCACCUUCCAGUUCAAAAAUCGAUAACUGUGCCAUUUAAAAAAAAAUUGGAAAUAUUUUUUAGCUCUUUUGAAAAAAGAAGCUAAGAUCUUUCCUUUAGUGUUGUCACAUUUCUAAAGAAGAAUAACAAACCCCGAAUUUUUAAAGUUAAGUUUUCACAACUUUAAGAACCCAUAACUCAAUUUUUUCCAAUAAAAUGCCACAAGUUUUAUUUCACUAAAUGGUAGAGAAUUUAAUUCUGCAUCGAUCUCUAUUAACAUUCCCUAUAUUUAUCUAUAACAGUUUUAAAGUUACAAUAACUUUUUGUUGGGAUUGAGAUUCAUUAGCCAUUAGUCUAUUCCCAUAUUUUGCCAUGAAAACGAAUGAAAAAAUGUAAGACAUUAAAGUUUUUUAAACCAACAA
Tribolium castaneum (red flour beetle) is the source of this 2348-nucleotide long non-coding RNA. RefSeq lists it as uncharacterized. The transcript has 5 exons. The record is from RefSeq and is a predicted model, not a curated record. NCBI's taxonomy places the organism in Eukaryota, Metazoa, Arthropoda, Insecta, Coleoptera, Tenebrionidae.